Molecule: ribosomal RNA, 253 nt
Filed under: uncultured bacterium
Lineage: Bacteria
Description: partial 16S ribosomal RNA
Rfam family: Bacterial small subunit ribosomal RNA
Source: RNAcentral
UACGUAGGGCGCAAGCGUUAUCCGGAAUUAUUGGGCGUAAAGAGCUCGUAGGCGGUUUGUCGCGUCUGCCGUGAAAGUCCGGGGCUCAACUCCGGAUCUGCGGUGGGUACGGGCAGACUAGAGUGAUGUAGGGGAGACUGGAAUUCCUGGUGUAGCGGUGAAAUGCGCAGAUAUCAGGAGGAACACCGAUUGCGAAGGCAGCUCGCUGGGACGUAACUGACGCUGAGGAGCGAAAGCGUGGGGAGCGAACAGG